AGCUGGACCCACAGCAAGUGUUCAGAAGCUAUCUUUCCUCUGCUUUACUGCAGCUGGAUAUGAAGCCAAGUUCCAAUGCACACGAAAAAAAAAGUUGAAGCCACAAUGUGGUACAGGAUGAACAUAUGAUGGAAGUUCCAGACUGGAUUCUCUUUCUUCUCACUGUUCCUGAAUAAAAUGGUUCCUGAAAGUAAACUUAAUAAAAGA
RNAcentral lists this long non-coding RNA (207 nucleotides) under Gopherus agassizii (Agassiz's desert tortoise). RNAcentral describes it as "lncRNA (ENSGAGG00000024384.1)". The record is from RNAcentral. Lineage: Eukaryota; Metazoa; Chordata; Testudines; Testudinidae.